Molecule: long non-coding RNA, 1748 nt
Organism: Dreissena polymorpha
Lineage: Eukaryota; Metazoa; Mollusca; Bivalvia; Myida; Dreissenidae
Exons: 3
Source: RefSeq, a predicted model, not a curated record
UCUCCAUAUUUUUUUGUACCUGUUGAUCAAAUCUUUGUUAUGAUUGAAGUCGAAGUCAACAGCAGGUGAAACUUUUCAAGUGCAUGUGAUCACUCUAGUUUGGUGCAGCCUUGUGCACAUGGAAGAUAGGACUUUCAAAACAAGAAGCCAUUGUUCCUUCUGCACAUAUGGAGUUAAUUCUUUGGAAAUCUUAUCAAUAGUGCCAGUGUAUAGGAGUACAACAAAAUAAAGUGAAUUAAGAUAUAGUUCAUUGAUUGCUCAACAUAAUUAUGCUGACAGUGCCUAGUUUAAGAGCUACAGAUCCAGGUUUCAUGGUAACCAUAUCAGGAAUAGUGGCUGCACAUGAUGUGACCUGUGACCAGCAAGGGACAGCCAGGGGUCUGCUGGGACAGCCAAGGGUCUGCUGAGGUUUCCAAAGACACACUCUACCCCUCCCCCCCCACACACACACCUGUUGGAGCAUCCGAGGUUAUCUUGCCACCCCAUCCUUUACAGACCCCUGAUGAGAUAACAAAAUCAACAACACCCAGUUGUAAAUCCACAUAUUGGGAUUAUGUUAAUACAAAAUGUGACUAAAUAGUAAAAUGAUGUACAUUCUGAUAUAAUUGAAUCUGUAUUGCACGGAAGUAUGGAACCCUGUGGAAGGCAAACUAAUUUUAUUUUAACCUCUCCAUAUCUAUUAUAUUUAUGCCCCCCUUUGAAGAAGAGGGGGUAUAUUGUUUUGCUCAUUGGUCGGUCCGUCCACCAAAUGGUUUCCGAAUGAUAACUCAAGAACGCUUAGGCCUAGGAUCAUGAAACUUCAUAGUAACAUUGACCAUGACUGGCACAUGACCCCUAUUGAUUUUCAGGUCACUAUGUCAAAGGUCAAGGUCACAGUGACUCAAAGCAGUAAAAUGGUUUCAGAAUGAUAACUCAAGAACACUUAGGCCUAGGAUCAUGAAACGUCAUAGGUAUAUUGAUCAUGACUGGCAGAUGACCUCUAUUGAUUUUCAGGUCACUAGGUCGAAGGUCAAGGUCACAGUGACUCGAAACAGUAAAAUGGUUUCCAGAUGAUAACUAUAAUGCUUAGACUUAGGAUCAUGAAACUUCAUAGGUACAUUGAUCAUGACUUGCAGAUGACCCCUAUAGAUUUUCAGGUUCUAGGUCAAAGGUCAAGGUCACAGUGACUCGAAACAGUAAAAUAGUUUCUGGAUGAUAACUCAACAAUGCUUAGGCCAAGGAUCAUGAAUCUUCAUAGUUACAUUGAUCAUGACUGGCAGAUGACCCCUAUUGAUUUUCAGGUCACUAGGUCGAAGGUCAAGGUCACAGUGACUCGAAACAGUAAAAUGGUUUCCUGAUGAUUACUCAAGAAAGCUUACGCCUAGGAUCAUGAAACUUCAUAGGUACAUUGAUCAUGACUGGCAGAUGACCCCUAUUAUUUUUCAGGUCAUUAGGUCAAGGGUCAAGGUCACAGUGACUCGAAACAGUAAAAUGGUUUCCUGAUGAUAACUCAAGAAUAAUUAGGCCUAGGACCAUGAAACUUUAUAGGUACAUUGAUCAUGACUGGCAGAUGACCCCUAUUGAUUUUAAGGUCACUUGGUCAAAGGUCAAGGUCACAGUGACAAAAAACGUAUUCACACAAUGGCUGCCACUACAACUGACAGCCCAUAUGGCGGGGCAUGCAUGUUUUACAAACAUUCCUUGUUAGUUCUUGUUUCAGCUCCAUUGUUCUUUGACUGUGCAAAACCAGAAUAAAUAUAUAAAACCAA